This 488-nucleotide ribosomal RNA is filed under the name Megaselia pectorella. Its description in RNAcentral is "eukaryotic LSU rRNA". It matches the Rfam family "Eukaryotic large subunit ribosomal RNA", at positions 283 to 650 of the family's 3401-position model. Lineage: Eukaryota; Metazoa; Arthropoda; Insecta; Diptera; Phoridae. The record is from RNAcentral.
CAGCACUAAGUGGGUGGUAAACUCCAUCUAAAACUAAAUAUAACCAUGAGACCGAUAGCAAACAAGUACCGUGAGGGAAAGUUGAAAAGAACUCUGAAUAGAGAGUUAAAUAGUACGUGAAACUGCUUAGAGGUUAAGCCCGAUGAAUCUGAAUAUCCGUUGUAGAAAAUUCAUCAUCAAUUUGUAUAAUAUAUAUUUAUAUAUAUUAUUAAAAUGGUGUGCACUUUUUCUACUUAAGGACAUUGUAAUCUAUUAAUGUUUAAAUGCGUAUUAUAAGAACUUGUUACAAUAGUUUUUACAUUAUUUAAUUUAUUUUAAAUAUGUUUAAAUGUAAUAGAUUCGAAUAUGCCAUUGAUAGAUUUUUUACAUAUAUUGUACUUAAAUCAUUUAUUUGAUUUUAUAAUAAUAUGAUUAUCAUUGAUAUUUGUAUUUAUUAUAUGUGCAUAUAUGAUUGACAAUGCGAAAGAUUCAGUAUACCUUCGGGACCC